GAGUUUGAUCGUGGCUCAGAUUGAACGCUGGCGGCAGGCCCAACACAUGCAAGUCGAGCGGAUGACGGGAGCUUGCUCCUUGAUUCAGCGGCGGACGGGUGAGUAAUGCCUAGGAAUCUGCCUGGUAGUGGGGGACAACGUUUCGAAAGGAACGCUAAUACCGCAUACGUCCUACGGGAGAAAGCAGGGGACCUUCGGGCCUUGCGCUAUCAGAUGAGCCUAGGUCGGAUUAGCUAGUUGGUGGGGUAAUGGCUCACCAAGGCGACGAUCCGUAACUGGUCUGAGAGGAUGAUCAGUCACACUGGAACUGAGACACGGUCCAGACUCCUACGGGAGGCAGCAGUGGGGAAGAUUGGACAAUGGGCGAAAGCCUGAUCCAGCCAUGCCGCGUGUGUGAAGAAGGUCUUCGGAUUGUAAAGCACUUUAAGUUGGGAGGAAGGGCAGUAAGUUAAUACCUUGCUGUUUUGACGUUACCGACAGAAUAAGCACCGGCUAACUCUGUGCCAGCCGCCG
RNAcentral lists this ribosomal RNA (513 nucleotides) under bacterium enrichment culture clone ALO1_GLFRUDD03GX62V. RNAcentral's name for it is "bacterial SSU rRNA". It matches the Rfam family "Bacterial small subunit ribosomal RNA", at positions 9 to 517 of the family's 1533-position model. The record is from RNAcentral.